GCUAGACAGAAGUAGUGGUUGCACAGCAUCGUGCAUGUACCAAAUGCCGCUGAUUUGUUCACUUCAAAAUGGUGAAUUUUAUUUUAUGUGAAUAAAAAGAAUGCAGACCGGACCCUGUCACCUCCCCGCCCCCCCGUUUAAAGUCUUCAGGACCCCAGCGAGGGUCAGUCCCACCUGACCCCUGCUCCUCCCCACGCCAGUCACAUCCACCCGCCAGUUUCUUGAGGGGGCCAAGCCCAUUGGUGCCCCCGGGCCUUUGCACAUGCUGUUUCUGUGUUCCCAGUGCUUCCAGCCCCUUCAGACCUCAGCUGCUCCUUCGCUGAGGCCUCUGCCGCUCCCCAGUCUGCCCCCCAGAGCUCCUGGUCUGCCCCGACAUGGAUAAUGCUCGUGUGGGACCCCACCCAGCGGAGAUGCUCCUAGAGUACUUAGCAAACGAGUGACGGAUCACCCUGGGGCCGAGGGUGGUCUGAGCAGCACAGGCCUCCCGGGCCGGCGGGAAAGGGGUACUGCUCAGUGCCCGCGCCCCCACCUCUCUCUCUGUCCACCUGCUGCUGGGCCCGGCCUCAGCCUGCUGGGAGGGCCUGGCAACCUGGGAGAAUUCACCUGACCUUCCGGAACCUUCUGAAGAUGGAGAAGGGUGGGCGGUGGGCUCCCCUGCCCGACACUCACAGGGGUCAGAAGCCGGACGGGCAGCCCACGAGGUGACGUCAGGACCAACGGGGGGGGUCACGGGGACAGCCCCAACUCCACUGGCCGCCCGUGGCUGCAGAGUGACCCCCGAGAUGUGGCCCGUGCAAAUCGAGACACGCGGGAGCUGUGACGUCCGCACGGGACCCGCGAUGUCAUGUGAGAAGGAGGAAAUCGCUUACGUGGUACCCGUGGUAUUUCUUUCGGACGCUGCCGGCCUGGAAAAUGCAGAAACAGACUCAAAACUCCAAGCAUGGCUUGAUGAGCGGUGCAUAGAUCUGUGCCCGGGAUCAGAACCCGUGAACCUGGGCCUGCCGAAGCAGAGUGUGCAAACUUAACCACUCCAUCACCCAGCUGGCCCGGGACUAAAGUUUCAAAUGCAAAAAGCACAAUUAUGAAAAAACAAGACUGGAGUUCCGCCUCCAGCUCUGUGUGGCGUCUUCACGUCCUCGAGACCUUGGCUGGGCGUCCCUCCCUCGCUCGUCCUAACUGAGAAGCCGCCCACCACACACCCGGUCCUCCCAGGCGUGGCCUUGGGCUCAGGGGGACGGGAGACGUGGGUUGGGACACCAGGCCACAAUGCGCCCCUCUGCCCGUGGGGGCACUCGGGCCUUGCCCUGAAUGCAGCAAAGGGCCAGGCCCUGAAGGAUCGGGGUCCUCUUGGGGGGGCUGGGGAUUCAUUAGGGCUGCGGUCGCAUGGGGAGGAGGACGGGAG
This 1402-nucleotide long non-coding RNA is filed under the name Equus caballus (horse). RNAcentral describes it as "lncRNA (ENSECAG00000031728.2)". The record is from RNAcentral. Lineage: Eukaryota; Metazoa; Chordata; Mammalia; Perissodactyla; Equidae.